UUGCUCCUAUUUUUAAGCCGUGGCCGCAGCGCUUGCGGCCCUCCAAGGAUAACAAGGCCAGGCUGUGCCCCGGGAACGCUGCCCCGCCGCGCUAAUUGAAACCAGCGUCCGACGAGGAGCUGAAAAUAGUGCACAGCUCCCAUAGAUCAGCUCCGGGAUAUGAGGGAGAUGCGGGCUGAGAACGGCCUGAGCUCAGUGCAUGAGUGGGAUGGGGCGGCUCCGGGUUCCCCCCUGAGCCCCUCCUGUGCCCCUCAGCCCCCGAGCGCAGCCGCUGUCAGGGUCACUCCGUCCCCGAUUUCUUGCCCCUGGGUUUGUGGUCCCCAAUCUGUGCUCCCCAAUCCUCAGCUGCUCACCCCCAGAAGCCGUUCCCUGGUCCCCAGCCCGCAGUUCCCCUUAUUUCCAGUUCCUCUUGUCCCCAGACCUCAGCCCUUAUCUCAUGUUCCCACUCCCUGGUCCCAAAUCCUCAACCCCACAUCCCCAAUUCCAUGUCCCCAAACCCCGUCCCAGUAUCUCAAGUCCCCAGUCCCUGCUCCCUUGUCCCUAAAUUCCAUUUCUGGCCCAUCGUUCUCAGUCCCUCACCCCUUGUCCCAUGUUUCCAAACCCAUUUCCAGGUCCCUGAUCCCCAGUCCUUUGCCCUCCAUCCCAUGUCCCCAAGCCCCAUUUCUUGUCCCCAGUCCCUUGUCCCCAUCCACAGUCCCAUGUCCCCAAGCCCCACUCAUGGCCCAUAAUCCAUGCCAGGCCCUUGCUCCCUUGUCCCCACUCCCAUGUCCUCAAAUCCCAUCCCAGAUCCUCGAUCCCAUGUCCCUAAACACGUUUCUGGGUCCCCACCUCCCAGUCCUCUGCCCCCAUCCCCAUUCCCUAUCCCCAAGGUGCCGCUGUCUGCAGCCCCAACCUCAGUUCCUGUCCCAGACCCAGCGCCCACCUUGUCCCCUGCCUCAGUUUCCCCAUCCCCACUCCUCCCUUCAAUCCACAGCCACCAAAUGUCACCAUCCGGGCCCUGGCUGUCCCUGCUCACAGGGUGCAUCUGGUCUUGGGGACAGCACGGGGCAGAGGUGGCGCUUGGUAUUGUCCCCUCCCUGGUGCCCUGCUGGGGUGGAGGACAGCCAGGUGGGCACAGGGACAGCAAGAGGGAGGAUGAGACCCUGCGUGGGGACAGGGACACGCAGUGGGGACGUGUGUGUGUGCGUGUGUGUCCCCAUCUCCUGGUCCCCAUGGCUCCCAGGGGCUGUGGUGGCCGCGCUGCGUCACCGCGGCUGUCCUGGUGGCCCCGUGCCAGGAGCAGACGUGGCCCUGUCACCAGGUCCAGGGUGGCACCGGCUUGGGGACAGACUUGUCCCCAUAGGCACAUCCUUGGGUGACGCUGCCCUGGGGACAGACGUGUCCCCAUCCCCAGAUGUGGGGCACGGAGCUCCUGGGGACAGCCGUGUCCCAGUGGCACUGCAUCCCCGUCCACCCCCUGCCAGCACCCAAAGCCACUGCACCCACUGUCCCCUGGGUGCCAUCCCUGCGGUCCCUGUGGCAGCAAGGAUGGGGACAGCAAUCUGGAAACAGCCCCAACUCCCCGUAUCCACCAAACCCCAGUGCUGCCUGUCCUGGGGGUCCCUGUCCUGGGAGGGUCCCACAUCUGAGGGUACUGAAUCACGUGGGGUCCCAUAUCCCAACAGUCCCACGUCCCAAGGGUCCCAUAUCCCAAAGGUCCUCUGUGCUGAGGUCCCAUAUCCUGGGAUUCCUGUAUCCUGGGAAUCUCAUAUCCCAGAGGUUCUGUAUCCCCCUGGGGGGAUUCCUGUAUCCUGAUGGUCCCCCUACCACGACGUCCCAUAUCCCAGUGAGGAGAGGGGGAUCUCCCCUGCCUUGGGGGUCCCUGUCCCCAGAUGUCCCCUCUCCAGCCCUAGAGAACCCCACAAUGCCGAGGCUGUGCCCAUAUCCCCACAGUGUCCUCGUGUCCCCGUAUCCCCAUGUUGUCCCCAUAUCCCCGUGGCAUUCCCAUGUCCCUAUGUCCCCACGGUGUCCCUGUGUCCCCAUAUCCCCAUUGUGUCUCCAUAUCCCCAUCGUAUCCCCACAUCCCCAUAUCCCCUUCGUGUCCCUAUUUCCCCACGGUGUCCCCAUGUCCCCAUAUCCCCAUUGUGUCCCCAUAUCCCCAUCGUGUCCCCAUUUCCCCACUGUGUCCCCGUGUCCCCAUAUCCCCAUCGUGUCCCCAUAUCCCCACCGUGUCCCCACGCCCCCAUAUCCCCAUCGUGUCCCCAUAUCCUCACCAUGUCCCUAUGUCCUCGUAUCCCCAUCACGUCCCCAUAUCCCCAUCGUGUCCCCACGUCCCCACUCUGUCCCCACAUCCUUACCGCUNNNNNNNNNNNNNNNN
Molecule: long non-coding RNA, 2356 nt
Organism: Chrysolophus pictus (golden pheasant)
Lineage: Eukaryota; Metazoa; Chordata; Aves; Galliformes; Phasianidae
Source: Ensembl